GGCUGAUGUUGCAGUUGCUUUAUUCUGCGCCUUGUUAUUUGGUGUGCUUAUAUUAUCAUCAUAUGUGGCCCUUUAUUUACGACAUUACUGGAGUUCCUUUCUCAUUAUAAGCCUUGCCAUUACCCUUCCAGUGCGUCUGAGAAUGUUACGACAGGCUCAUGCAAGAAAGAAAGUAAGACAGUUACCUUUGUCUAUGUGAACUUCCUUCUACUUCUGGAAGCACCAAACAGUGGUUUAAGUGAAAGGAAUACCUUUUGCACAAAAGUGCUCUCCAAUUGUAGUAAUACAGUUCUUUGAUCUUCGUCACAUAGGCUGACCAAUCUUCUGCUGUGAAAGAUGGG
Molecule: unclassified non-coding RNA, 341 nt
Filed under: Hevea brasiliensis (rubber tree)
Lineage: Eukaryota; Viridiplantae; Streptophyta; Magnoliopsida; Malpighiales; Euphorbiaceae
Source: RNAcentral